Molecule: long non-coding RNA, 2330 nt
Organism: Vespa velutina
Lineage: Eukaryota; Metazoa; Arthropoda; Insecta; Hymenoptera; Vespidae
Exons: 3
Source: RefSeq, a predicted model, not a curated record
AAGAUAAAAGAAAAAUUUCAAAUUAAAAUUUGCUUCAAGCAAUAAUAUUGAUUAAAUAAAAUCGAUAGAUAAACCGAUUAGAUUACCUGUAUCGUUCCAUUUGUUAGUUGCAUAACUACAGCAGUCUGUGUCCUAAACCAUUGAUGCAUAUAAGGUAUUCUUGAUAAGGAAUCGCCUUGUUUUAAAGCGAUCGAUCCACCGGCUUUCAUUAAAUGCUCGUUCAUGUAUUUGAGGAAAAAAUUCAUUAACUUCAUUUUCUUGUCUAAAAUAGUUGGAUAUUCUUGAACGGUAUAAUAUAAUUCAUUUCCAUCGCGAUUUAUAUAAUGGAUAUUGAAACCAUUGGCCAGCAUUAUCAGUCUUGUACCAUCGUUAAACAUAACACCUACUCCAUCAUCAGACAAUUGAUAUCCAAAUCCAUAUUUAUCAGAAUAAUCAACCCAUUUACUUAUCCAAAUUAAAGGCUGUGCAGCUGGAUCAGUCAUUUCAUCUAUAAUGGUUUAAAAGAAGAUAAUAUUAUAUUUGAAAUGUAAUAUUAUAAUAAUAUAUAAUAAAGUGUUCUAACUGAAGAACUAUUCUAUAAAUUAAUUCAAGUAUUAUGAAAUUUCUUCCAUCUUUAUAAAUCCUGGAGGAAUUGAAGGAAUGAUUCGAUUAAUAUAAAUCUCAACAAAUGAAGGUGAUUAGUCAUAUAACGUAAAAAGGAAAGAAUAUGCAUGCCUGAGGGUUCCAUAAGGAUCUGGAAUGGUUUUGGAUAUUCUGUAGAAAAGAAAUUAUUUCUUUUAUAACAUGUUUUUUACGUGCUGGACUACUUGGCACACGGAACGUAUUAUCUUCUCCAUCUCCACCGGCAUUAAGAUUCAUUUCGGAUAAAGGUUUACGUUGAUUAUGCAUCUCUAACAUAUCCAAACGUGGUGGCAUUGUUAAACACGAAAGUGGCAAACUUGUUGGCAAAUGGCCUAAAAAUAAUAUUGAUAAAUAAUUGCACUUACAUAUUGUACCAUUCAUUGUAUAUAUGAUAUAAUCCAAUGAUUUUAUUACCAGACGUAAAAAAGAUAUCUUUUAUUAAUUUAGAUACAGGAGGACGUUUUGAGGGUGUCCCUUGUAGCAUACUUGUAAUCAUUGUCAUGGCAGGUUUACUUAGAUGUGAAGGUGUUUUAUAUUGAACUUGUUUAAUUCUAUUAUAUGUUUCUUUUAAAGUUGAUGUUUCAAAUGGAGGUUUACCGACAAGUAAAGUAUACAUUAUACAACCUAUGCUCCACACGUCAACUUCAUAAGAAUGUCCUGCUUUAGUUAAAAUUUCUGGAGCAAUAUAAUUUGGCGUUCCACAUAAUGUUCUAUAAAAAGUUGAUACGUUAUUCUCAUUUAUUAUCAAACAAUAUUUUUUUUUUUUUUUGCUUUAUAUCACAUAAUCUUCAGCAAUUACUUUUUUCUUUCUCCAUCAUGCUCCAAUCUUGUCGCCAGUCCAAAGUCACCAAUUUUAACUUGUAGAUCAUCAUUUAAGAAUAAAUUACCUAAUUUUAGAUCUCUAUGUAUAAUUCUAUUUUGAUGUAAAUAAUGUACACCUUCUAAAAUUUGUUUCAUAUAAUACCUAGUCUCACAUUCUGAAAGUGCUUUUCUACGUUUAUGUAGCUCCAUCAUUGACUAAAAAAUAAUUCUAAAGAUAUAAAAAUUUGUCUAAAUAAUAUCAUUACAAAGGUAUACCAAUUAACUUACUCUUUUACGGCAAAGUUCAAGAAUAAUAUAAAUAUUUUGUGCAUCAUCAAAAAAGCCAUAAAAUCCAACAAUGUUUCUGUGAUUUAAACUCUGAUGUAUUGCAAUUUCUUGCGUCAUUUUUUCCCUUUGAUUACUUUUUGUCAUUAUCGAUUUGGAUACAAUUUUUCCCGCAAAAACAUGAUGAGAUUUUGAUUCUCUGAUUUCAUAACAUCUAGCAAAUCCACCCUUUAAACGAUAAAAACAAAAUACUCUAUUAUAAUAUUAUAAAUAUAUUUCAUAUGUUUUAAUUUUCAAUAAUAAAUUAAAUGUCCAAUAAAUGAGAUCAAAAUACAUUUUUGGUUAUUAUAUUUUAUGAACAUAUUUUUAAAAUUUUACAAAAAUUCUACUUAAAUAAUAGGAAUAUUAAAGUAUGAAUUCAAGCCAAUGAAAUAAAAAUUUGAAUUCAUAAAAGAACAUACAACUUUCAUACAAUUUCAUACAAACAUACGUAUAGCAACAGGUUGUUAUUCAGACAUUACACUUCAUUCACAAUAUGAUACAGAUCAAAUUUUAAUUAUUGAUAAAGUGCAUAAAUGUAGAAUUAUCAGAUUGAAAUAAUUAGAACAUUAUUGAAAUAUGAU